AACGAACGCUGGCGGCAGGCCUAACACAUGCAAGUCGAGCGAGACCUUCGGGUCUAGCGCGGACGGGUUAGUAACGCGUGGGAACGUGCCCUUCUCUGCGGAAUAGCCACUGGAAACGGUGAGUAAUACCGCAUACGCCCUUCGGGGGAAAGAUUUAUCGGAGAAGGAUCGGCCCGCGUUAGAUUAGAUAGUUGGUGGGUAACGGCCUACCAAGUCUACGAUCUAUAGCUGGUUUUAGAGGAUGAUCAGCAACACUGGGACUGAGACACGGCCCAGACUCCUACGGGAGGCAGCAGUGGGGAAUCUUAGACAAUGGGCGCAAGCCUGAUCUAGCCAUGCCGCGUGUGUGAUGAAGGUCUUAGGAUCGUAAAGCACUUUCGCCAGGGAUGAUAAUGACAGUACCUGGUAAAGAAACCCCGGCUAACUCCGUG
Molecule: ribosomal RNA, 431 nt
Filed under: uncultured bacterium
Lineage: Bacteria
Description: bacterial SSU rRNA
Rfam family: Bacterial small subunit ribosomal RNA
Source: RNAcentral